UUGAUUUAUUAAUCUUUUGCUUGUUACAGCUCUGACUAUAGUAUUAAUCAAGGGUUUUAAAGGUGUCUGCCGGCAGGUGCAUAAGCACCCACCGAGGCAACAACAAAGGUAAUGUAAACAAAGGGUGGAGAUUUUUAGAGGCAUAUAGCCAAACUAAAAUACUCUUGUAAUGAUCCUUCCGCAGGUUCACCUACGGAAA
This 199-nucleotide unclassified non-coding RNA is filed under the name uncultured fungus. RNAcentral describes it as "sequence contains ITS1". The record is from RNAcentral. Lineage: Eukaryota; Fungi.